GGAGGCCAUGAAGAGAAGAACACUCUCUCAAGUUCUUUCUCUCACUUGAUCUUCAAACCACCAUAACUUUUGAUCUAGAGCUCCGAUUGCCGCACCGUUUGCGGCCACGCAUUCACCGCGGAGAGCUCUACAAAAACCAUACAAUCAAUCUUGAGGACCCAACUCUCUUGAAGAAGAAGGUUAAUCUUGUCUUCUUGGACUUUGGGUAUGAUGCAGGACGUGAGGUUUCUCGCUGAGGCCUGCUGGAGACUUCUGGAUUUGCGAAGAUCCUUUGUUCUCGGGACUAUGUUUUGGUUUAUAUGUUUUGCUUAGAUACUUUUAUCUCCAUUAAAUAAUACAAACUGAGAUGACUCCUCUUAUGGGAGAUUUUGGAGAAUAGGUUUUAUGUAUUUGUGUCCCUUUGGGUUUUCUUUAGGGUUUUCCUUAUUUUAUCAUAUGUAUAUAUUGCUAUGCUCGGACCGGUUAUCUUCGCAGCCGGAUUUUGAGUCUUGAUAUUCCUAUUUUUGACACUCCUUUGUAUAUAUAUA
Molecule: long non-coding RNA, 527 nt
Organism: Arachis duranensis
Lineage: Eukaryota; Viridiplantae; Streptophyta; Magnoliopsida; Fabales; Fabaceae
Exons: 3
Source: RefSeq, a predicted model, not a curated record